Long non-coding RNA from Bombus pascuorum, 279 nucleotides. RefSeq lists it as uncharacterized. The transcript has 2 exons. The record is from RefSeq and is a predicted model, not a curated record. NCBI's taxonomy places the organism in Eukaryota, Metazoa, Arthropoda, Insecta, Hymenoptera, Apidae.
AACAGUUUGGAGAGAAAUAGAUGCAAGUCCCAAACCUAGCAGAACAUCAGUUCAUAAUAUUCUUAGGAAUAUGCGAAACGGCAUAUAAUGAAAGGAUAAGUAAAAACAACGGCAUUUUAUCUUAUCAUUGAUUAUCGUAUAAGGGAUCAUAUAAUAAAAUGUACGGAAGAAGAAGUAUUUAGAGUAUUAGGGACUAAGAGGGAGCUAGAUGCAACAAAACUAGACGCAUUUAUUGCAAAAAAUUUAGAUGUCUCAUAUUUGUGGAAUAAAAUUUGGAGA